AGCAGCCGCGGUAAUUCCAGCUCCAAUAGCGUAUAUUAAAGUUGUUGCAGUUAAAAAGCUCGUAGUUGAAUUUCGGGAUCAGUACGUCGGUCGUGCCUUCGGUAUGCACUGGUGUCACUGGUUCCUCCCUUCUGACGAACCGUCAUGCCAUUAAUUUGGUGUGGCGGGAAAUCAGGACUGUUACUUUGAAAAAAUUAGAGUGUUUAAAGCAGGCUCACGCUUGAAUACAUUAGCAUGGAAUAAUGAAAUAGGACGUUGAUCUUAUUUUGUUGGUUUCUAGGAUUGACGUAAUGAUUAAUAGGGAUAGUUGGGGGCAUUAGUAUUCAAUUGUCAGAGGUGAAAUUCUUGGAUUUAUUGAAGACUAACUACUGCGAAAAGCAUUUGCCAAGGAUGUUUUCAUUAAUCAAGAACGAAAGUUAGGGGAUCGAAGACGAUCAGAUACCGUCGUAG
This 450-nucleotide ribosomal RNA is filed under the name uncultured Glomus. RNAcentral's name for it is "SSU rRNA". It matches the Rfam family "Eukaryotic small subunit ribosomal RNA", at positions 569 to 1023 of the family's 1831-position model. The record is from RNAcentral. Lineage: Eukaryota; Fungi; Glomeromycota; Glomeromycetes; Glomerales; Glomeraceae.